GCGAUGAGCUGAAUUGUGUAAGCCGGGGAACAUUCCAUCUGGAACAUGCGAAUGUGGCGCAUGGUUCUCCGCCUCAAUACGCAAAAAGGCGCCUGUCAAUUGACAGGCGCC
Molecule: small RNA, 111 nt
Organism: Bacillus sp. B-jedd
Lineage: Bacteria; Bacillati; Bacillota; Bacilli; Caryophanales; Bacillaceae
Rfam family: BsrF
Source: Rfam